CGUCCAUUUGACUCAGAGUUUGGUACCAUAGGUUGGUACGAUCUUCGUUGGAGAAGGAAAAGGGAUGUUCCAGAUACAGAAAAUAAUCAAACCAUUUACUACAAAGUCCGUUUCUGGGUGGAGUUAGUGGAACCGAAAAAGAUGUCUCCCUCACAGCGUUUGUGACAAGAGAAUUGCAUUGUUCCUUGGCGGCCUUUCAACAGAAGAAUAUUCAGAGAUUUCACGAGUGUCAUUUUGUAUAGACCACAAACAGCAGAGGUCCCAGCACAGAUCCCUGCGGAACACCAAUCGUCCUGGAUCUACAGCCUGAAAAGCACCAUUCCACCUCUUGCCUCUGUCUUCUCUGGGCAAGCCAGUUGUGAAUCCAAGCAUCCAAGCCACCAUUGACUCGGUGCAUCUUAAUUUUCUGGAUGAUCCUAU
Molecule: long non-coding RNA, 420 nt
Organism: Stegostoma tigrinum
Lineage: Eukaryota; Metazoa; Chordata; Chondrichthyes; Orectolobiformes; Stegostomatidae
Exons: 3
Source: RefSeq, a predicted model, not a curated record